UACGUAGGGUGCAAGCGUUGUCCGGAAUUAUUGGGCGUAAAGAGCUCGUAGGCGGUCUGUCGCGUCGGCUGUGAAAACCCGGGGCUCAACCCCGGGCCUGCAGUCGAUACGGGCAGACUAGAGUGUGGUAGGGGAGACUGGAAUUCCUGGUGUAGCGGUGAAAUGCGCAGAUAUCAGGAGGAACACCGGUGGCGAAGGCGGGUCUCUGGGCCGAUAUCGACGCUGAGGAGCGAAAGCGUGGGGAGCGAACAGG
RNAcentral lists this ribosomal RNA (253 nucleotides) under uncultured bacterium. RNAcentral describes it as "partial 16S ribosomal RNA". It matches the Rfam family "Bacterial small subunit ribosomal RNA", at positions 524 to 776 of the family's 1533-position model. The record is from RNAcentral.